This 376-nucleotide ribosomal RNA is filed under the name Iwogumoa xinhuiensis. RNAcentral describes it as "partial 16S ribosomal RNA". The record is from RNAcentral. Lineage: Eukaryota; Metazoa; Arthropoda; Arachnida; Araneae; Agelenidae.
CUCAAUGAAAUUUUAAAUAGCCGCAUCACGUGCUAAGGUAGCAUAAUCAUUUGUCUUUUAAUUAAAGACUAGAACAAAAGAUUUAACAUUUUCAUUUCUUUUUAAUUUAAAUAAAUUCAACUUAUUUUAAAUAUAAAAAAAUAUUUAUAAAAAAAAAAGACGACAAGACCCUAUUGAACUUCACUAAAGUUAAACUGGGGUAGUUAAUUAAAUAUAAUUUUAAUAUAAUUAUUAAAAACACCUAAUACAAUUAAACUAAUCAAGUUACCAUAGGGAUAACAGCGUAAUAAUUUUCUUUAGAUCUCAUUAAAAAAAUUGUUUGCGACCUCGAUGUUGAAUUAAUAUUCUAUUAAACGAAAUAGUUAAUAAGAAAGUC